GGCUGGUCCGAGUGCAGUGGUGUUUACAACUAAUUGAUCACAACCAGUUACAGAUUCCUUUGUUGCUUUUCCACUCCCACUGAUUCACAUGACUAGCCUUAA
Molecule: Y RNA, 102 nt
Filed under: Microcebus murinus (gray mouse lemur)
Lineage: Eukaryota; Metazoa; Chordata; Mammalia; Primates; Cheirogaleidae
Description: Y RNA (ENSMICG00000041975.1)
Rfam family: Y RNA
About the family: Y RNAs are components of the Ro ribonucleoprotein particle (Ro RNP), in association with Ro60 and La proteins.
Source: Rfam by way of RNAcentral